CGCAAAACCAAGGGGUGCGAAAGCUGAGAUGCCGCAAGGCGAACCCUAAGAACCUGAUCCGGAUCAUACCGGCGGAGGGAUGGUGUCUUUGACUUCC
Molecule: non-coding RNA, 97 nt
Filed under: Rheinheimera sp. SA_1
Lineage: Bacteria; Pseudomonadati; Pseudomonadota; Gammaproteobacteria; Chromatiales; Chromatiaceae
Also listed under: 1 other name
Description: TPP riboswitch aptamer (THI element)
Rfam family: TPP riboswitch aptamer (THI element)
About the family: Vitamin B(1) in its active form thiamin pyrophosphate (TPP) is an essential coenzyme that is synthesised by coupling of pyrimidine and thiazole moieties in bacteria.
Source: Rfam by way of RNAcentral